AUGGAAAUGCACAUAUGGAGACACAUGCUUUAUAACGAAUCGCUUGUUUGGGUUGACACAGCUGGCUUCUCAAUUGGUGCAGAUACGGAUUCGAGAUUCAGGUCUCCGACUGCCUUUGACGGACCAAUGUUGCAAUGCGGUUGUCUUUGCAUAAGAAAAUUGGUCAUCUAUACAUGCAAGUCAGAAGCCUAAAUAUGCAUAAAGAAGAGUCUUCUAGUACGUUGUCCUUCCACCUUGAAUAUUUCUCUUCCUAUUCACUUAACCAAAUAACCAGCACCAAAAAGAGGGAAAAAAGGAAUCAUUAUUCUAACAUGCAGCAUUUCAAGCAAGUUACAGUAUGCUGAAAGAUUCUUCUGAUGGUGCACCUAUGGUCGAGCAAGCAAUGUAUUCUAGAACCAGAUUUCAAUGCAUCAACCUCUUUUUCAAGGACAGUGCUCUAAUGUUGGGCUAAAUUUUCCUAUGAUUAUUCUAUGGCUAACUUCUUUUUUUCCCCCUUUCUAUUCCAUUUCCCAGCAGCCAAGUGGAGAACAGUUAACUUAUACAAGUGCAAACAUGACCAUGGGCUCGGAGGGGAUAAAAUACAAACCUUGGCUAGCGAACAAGAAAAUGAUUCCAGUUGACCAUGUGCACCACGGUAGAAGUGGAAAUAAGGAAGCACCUUCACAUUCAAACUUUUACACAUAGACUUAUUCUCAUCAAAAUUGACUUUGAGGAACAAAAUUUCAGGGUUUUCUUGGGCUGUCCUGCAGAGCUGCCAGAUUCAUCAAAAGGCAACAUCAGGAAAAACUUGCCAUAGUUCAGAAACAACAUCAGCUAUUUCAAAAAGUGUAUAACAUUAAAUGCUUCAAACAUUAAUUACUUAAAGAGCACAGCUAUUAGCCUGAUUUGAGAAACUGUUAUCAGAUGCAUUCUUGAGUAGAUGCAUGCAGUGAACUGAAAAACUUUUGCUCUGUCAAACAAGAUGAGUAGAUAGUGCAAGCAUCAGUUUUAUUAUUUGGUUACAUGGAAAUGACUAAAUUAUAUUAGUCUCAACAAGCAGUAGUUGCUGGAAAGCGUGCUCCCACCCCACAUGCCCCCUCUUUUCCAGUUAUUUAAUCUGAAGAUCCAUUGCAUUUCAUGGAUAUCUCACACUAAGAGAUUAUGAAUUU
This is a long non-coding RNA of Gossypium raimondii (Peruvian cotton), 1148 nucleotides long. RefSeq lists it as uncharacterized. The transcript has 2 exons. Lineage: Eukaryota; Viridiplantae; Streptophyta; Magnoliopsida; Malvales; Malvaceae. The record is from RefSeq and is a predicted model, not a curated record.